AUACUUAACUGCAGGAAAGAUACCAUGAUCAUAAAUGUGAUUUUUCUGAGGCCAGGCUUGUCCAUUGCACUCAGCAUAUGUUGAGUGACCUGUGUGAUUUCCCCAAAUGUGGGAAAGUUGACUGUAUAAUUUAUGGUAGUGGGCGACUGUUUUUGUGAUCUCUCU
Small nuclear RNA from Suncus etruscus (white-toothed pygmy shrew), 165 nucleotides. RefSeq annotates it as U1 spliceosomal RNA. NCBI's taxonomy places the organism in Eukaryota, Metazoa, Chordata, Mammalia, Eulipotyphla, Soricidae. The record is from RefSeq and is a predicted model, not a curated record. The transcript has a single exon.